GAUGGUUGCAAUGAGGAUAACAAGCUCCCUCUUCUGAAAUCAAGUUGAGGACAAAUGCUGGCGGAAUCGAACCUAAUUCUCAAAAUCGCCAUUGCUGAGUAA
Macadamia integrifolia is the source of this 102-nucleotide small nucleolar RNA. RefSeq annotates it as small nucleolar RNA R30/Z108. The transcript has a single exon. NCBI's taxonomy places the organism in Eukaryota, Viridiplantae, Streptophyta, Magnoliopsida, Proteales, Proteaceae. The record is from RefSeq and is a predicted model, not a curated record.